Molecule: microRNA precursor, 200 nt
Filed under: Brachypodium distachyon (stiff brome)
Lineage: Eukaryota; Viridiplantae; Streptophyta; Magnoliopsida; Poales; Poaceae
Description: MIR1435 microRNA precursor family
Rfam family: MIR1435 microRNA precursor family
Source: Rfam by way of RNAcentral
UAGGUUUAUCUUAAGUCAAACUUCUUCAAGUUUGACCAAAUUUAUAGAAAAAUCUGCUAAGAUCUAAAAUAUCAAAUGAGUAUACUAUGGGAAAAAUAAUAAUUUCAUAUUUAAUAAAACUAAUUUGGAGUUCUAAAUGUUCGUAGAUUUUUCUAUAAGCUUUUUCAAACUUAAAGAAGUUUGACUUAAGACAAAGCUAG